GUGGCGGAACUGGCAGACGCGCAUGGUUGAGGGCCAUGUGGGGGCAACCCCGUGGAGGUUCGAGUCCUCUCCCGAGCACCA
This 81-nucleotide transfer RNA is filed under the name Pirellulaceae bacterium. RNAcentral's name for it is "tRNA-Leu". It matches the Rfam family "tRNA". From Rfam's summary of the family: Transfer RNA (tRNA) molecules are approximately 80 nucleotides in length. Lineage: Bacteria; Pseudomonadati; Planctomycetota; Planctomycetia; Pirellulales; Pirellulaceae. The record is from RNAcentral.